UCCUCUCACUACCGCUCCCCCCUCUCCCCCCGUGCCCCACAAACCGGCUUAUUUGGUUACGGAAAACGACAUUCAAUCAUCAACAGAAGGAUUGUUUGAGAAAAAUAAAGCGAGUACGAGGCUUCGCAGCGCCUCCACAUAUUUUAAGACAUGUUUUGGCCGAAAUUAUUUCUGUUUAUUUGUUCCCUUGUUCUUGCCAAGUGUGCUACCGGCAAGGAGAAUGUCAGAGAUGGAGCGCUCAAUCUUAUUCCUGGAGAAACACUUCGUUGUUGUGAUUCAUUACGAGCCAGAGAGCUGCAGACGUACUGCUACAGUGGCAGACCGAAACACAUCUUACACAUUUGGCAGACUGUUUUGCUGAAGAUUCAAACGACCUCUGACAAUUUUGAAAUCUAUGAUGGAGGAUCUCCAGAGGCAGUUCAGGCGGCCUACGAACAACAUCAGUCAUCGUGGAGUUUCAACUUGAUUUGGGGUGCUCGGAAAGGAAGAGAGGUGAAGCUCUCUCCCUUCAAUCGUAGCUGUAUUGGCAUUAGUAGUUCAAAAGACUAUUCCGUGUACUUACAUGUGAUUCGUGUAGAUUAUUGGCGAGUCUUACUCUUAGUAUGUGGACUUAUCUUGUUUUUAUCAGCUCCUCGCCUGUGCGAAAACACUCUGUUUUAUUAUAUAAAUGGUGUUUCUAUCGGAAUGUUAGCAUCAUUCCUUAUUCUUAUAUACAUGAUCAGUCGUCUACUUCCUAGAAAACCUAUGAUGUAUGGAUUUGUGUUUGGAGGGUGGGCUGUGGUGGUGUACCUCUUCCAAAUGUUAUGGGACAACCUGCGGAUUGUACUUGUAGAUUACAGACUCUACGUCCUGUCAUACGUUGCCAUUACAGGAUUCCUGAGUUUCAUCGUAUGCUACAGAUUUGGUCCUGUUACUGAUAAACGUAGUAUAAACCUUAUCAAGUGGUCACUUCAGGGCAUCUCUAUGAUCAUAAUCCUAUGCAGCAGCCAAUUCCAGGAAGCAACUGUUGCCAUUGUCCUUAUUCUUGUUGCACUUUACAACUUUCCCAAAGUAUAUCGUGGUCACCAUAAUAACAAUGUGGAGAAUGAAUAUGCAAGCCCUAGAAAACGAUUCAAACAUUCUAAUGAAAAUAAAAGUACUUAGCCACUUCAGUUUAACUUUGUAUAAAUUUAAUAAAUAUGUAUCAUUAUUCUAGUAUCAAUCAAAAUAAAUCCUCUCCAUUCAUUGACCAUAGUCCUUAACAUUCUAAAGCUCUUUGAAGAGUUUUCUUUGCUUUAUAUUUACUGUAUUGUUUUAGUAUGUGUCCAAUUUCAUGUGUAAAUAAUAGCAUAUUUUAUGAAAUGUAGGUAGUCAUUGUAAUAACAUUCCAUAAGUUCUUCUCCACUUUGUUUUUGUUUUCUUGUUCACCUUUUCCUAUGCAUGCUAAUUAGGAAAAUGUGGAAACGACGUUUUCCCCCUAAAGUUGAGCUGUUGUCAGAUGACCAAUACCAUGAGCAGGGAGUUCGUGAGACUCAAAAAGCUCUUGAUGAGCUGCGGGGUUACUGUUCAAGCCCUGACUGCAACCAGUGGAAAACAGUUC
Molecule: unclassified non-coding RNA, 1579 nt
Filed under: Thrips palmi
Lineage: Eukaryota; Metazoa; Arthropoda; Insecta; Thysanoptera; Thripidae
Description: nuclear envelope integral membrane protein 1, transcript variant X2
Source: RNAcentral